This 488-nucleotide ribosomal RNA is filed under the name uncultured bacterium. Its description in RNAcentral is "partial 16S ribosomal RNA". It matches the Rfam family "Bacterial small subunit ribosomal RNA", at positions 28 to 507 of the family's 1533-position model. The record is from RNAcentral.
GACGAACGCUGGCGGCGUGCUUAACACAUGCAAGUCGAACGGAAAGGCCCUGCUUUUGUUGGGUGCUCGAGUGGCGAACGGGUGAGUAACACGUGAGUAACCUGCCCUUGACUUUGGGAUAACACCAGGAAACUGGGGCUAAUACCGGAUAGGAGCUCCUGCUGCAUGGUGGGGGUUGGAAAGAUUCGGCGGUUGGGGAUGGACUCGCGGCUUAUCAGCGUGUUGGGGGGGUAGCGGCUUACCAAGGUUUUGACGGGUAGCCGGCCUGAGAGGGGGACCGGCAACAAGGGAAAGGAGAAACGGUCCAGACUCCUACGGGAGGCAGCAGGAGGGAAUCGCACGCAAGGGGCGGAAGCCUGACGGAGCAACGCCGCGUGAGUGAUGAAGGUCUGCGGAGCGUAAAACUCUGUGAUUAGGGAAGAAAAAAUGUGUAAGUAACUAUGCACGGCUUGACGGUACAUAAUCAGAAAGCCACGGCUAACUACGUG